GCUGGCGGCGUGCCUAAUACAUGCAAGUCGAGCGAACGGACGAGAAGCUUGCUUCUCUGAUGUUAGUGGCGGACGGGUGAGAAACACGUGGAUAACCUACCUAUAAGACUGGGAUAACUUCGGGAAACCGGAGCUAAUACCGGAUAAUAUUUUGAACCGCAUGGUUCAAAAGUGAAAGACGGUCUUGCUGUCACUUAUAGAUGGAUCCGCGCUGCAUUAGCUAGCUGGUAAGGUAACGGCUUACCAAGGCAACGAUGCAUAGCCGACCUGAGAGGGUGAUCGGCCACACUGGAACUGAGACACGGUCCAGACUCCUACGGGAGGCAGCAGUAGGGAAUCUUCCGCAAUGGGCGAAAGCCUGACGGAGCAACGCCGCGUGAGUGAUGAAGGUCUUCGGAUCGUAAAACUCUGUUAUUAGGGAAGAACAUAUGUGUAAGUAACUGUGCACAUCUUGACGGUACCUAAUCAGAAAGCCACGGCUAACUACGUGCCAGCAGCCGCGGUAAUACGUAGGUGGCAAGCGUUAUCCGGAAUUAUUGGGCGUAAAGCGCGCGUAGGCGGUUUUUUAAGUCUGAUGUGAAAGCCCACGGCUCAACCGUGGAGGGUCAUUGGAAACUGGAAAACUUGAGUGCAGAAGAGGAAAGUGGAAUUCCAUGUGUAGCGGUGAAAUGCGCAGAGAUAUGGAGGAACACCAGUGGCGAAGGCGACUUUCUGGUCUGUAAUUGACGCUGAUGUGCGAAAGCGUGGGGAUCAAACAGGAUUAGAUACCCUGGUAGUCC
RNAcentral lists this ribosomal RNA (779 nucleotides) under uncultured bacterium. RNAcentral describes it as "bacterial SSU rRNA". It matches the Rfam family "Bacterial small subunit ribosomal RNA", at positions 35 to 796 of the family's 1533-position model. The record is from RNAcentral.